AAGACUAUAGACCUGCGGAGUACCUGCGGAAGGAUCAUUACCGAGUUAGGGUAGUCACUCACUGCCCGACCUCCCAACCCUGUGUCUACCACACUUUGUCGUUGCUUCGGCGGACCGGUUGACCAACUGGUCGUGACCGCCGGGGGCUGGCUCUGUCCCCCCUGGAGAGCGUCCGUCGAUGGCCCAACCACAAAACUCUUGUACCGAAACGUGUCGUCUGAAUUAUAUUUGGGAAAUCAA
RNAcentral lists this unclassified non-coding RNA (240 nucleotides) under soil metagenome. Its description in RNAcentral is "partial contains 5.8S ribosomal RNA, internal transcribed spacer 2, and large subunit ribosomal RNA". The record is from RNAcentral.